GCCACAUAGCUCAGUUGGUAGAACUUGAGACACUUAAUCACAGGAUCAUGGGUUCAAACCCCAUGUUGGGUG
Podarcis lilfordi (Lilford's wall lizard) is the source of this 72-nucleotide non-coding RNA. NCBI's taxonomy places the organism in Eukaryota, Metazoa, Chordata, Lepidosauria, Squamata, Lacertidae. The record is from the annotation of a GenBank genome assembly.